CGUGCUGCCAUGGGUAUAAGAGGUUCCUUGAGCCUUUGAAUACACUGUGGCUGGUUGGUGCCGAUACCUUUGCUUGCAAACCCCCAAGCUAAGGUGUUUGGUUUWUCAAGCGCGGGUGUUGAGGUUGAUCGUUGCUUUGU
RNAcentral lists this ribosomal RNA (140 nucleotides) under Chaetomorpha cf. brachygona J08. Its description in RNAcentral is "partial 28S ribosomal RNA". Lineage: Eukaryota; Viridiplantae; Chlorophyta; Ulvophyceae; Cladophorales; Cladophoraceae. The record is from RNAcentral.